Molecule: long non-coding RNA, 165 nt
Organism: Octopus sinensis (East Asian common octopus)
Lineage: Eukaryota; Metazoa; Mollusca; Cephalopoda; Octopoda; Octopodidae
Exons: 2
Source: RefSeq, a predicted model, not a curated record
AAAACAAGUAAAAUGUUUUGACCAGAUACGGCUGGUUUAAAUGCUUAAGGGUUAAUAGGGCUGGAAUGUUCUUUUCGUUUCUCCAUUUCAUUUUUAGGAUAAGAAUCUUAUGAUCUAUGUUCUGAAAGAAUUAGAAAGAAUAUAGAAUUAGUUAGAGCCCUAAAA